Molecule: transfer RNA, 76 nt
Filed under: Hyphomicrobiaceae bacterium
Lineage: Bacteria; Pseudomonadati; Pseudomonadota; Alphaproteobacteria; Hyphomicrobiales; Hyphomicrobiaceae
Also listed under: 4 other names
Description: tRNA-Thr
Rfam family: tRNA
About the family: Transfer RNA (tRNA) molecules are approximately 80 nucleotides in length. Their secondary structure includes four short double-helical elements and three loops (D, anti-codon, and T loops).
Source: RNAcentral
GCCGCAGUAGCUCAGUUGGUAGAGCAACGCAUUCGUAAUGCGUGGGUCGGGGGUUCAAGUCCCUCCUGCGGCACCA